UACCAAAAUGGAAUCUAUAAUUUGUGUAUGC
RNAcentral lists this non-coding RNA (31 nucleotides) under Mus musculus (house mouse). Lineage: Eukaryota; Metazoa; Chordata; Mammalia; Rodentia; Muridae. The record is from RNAcentral.